GAUGAACGCUAGCGGCAGGCCUAAUACAUGCAAGACGAACGGUAAGUUUGGUAGCAAUACUGAACCUAGAGUGUCGUAAGGGUGCGUAACACGUAUGCAAUCUGCCCUCAACAGGAGGAUAGCUCGCCGAAAGGCGAAUUAACACUCCAUAAGAUCGUACUGUGGCAUCACAGAGCGAUUAAAACUCCGGUGGUUGAGGAUGAGCAUGCGGAUGAUUAGCUAGUUGGUGAGGUAACGGCUCACCAAGGCAAUGAUCAAUAGGGGAACUGAGAGGUUGAUCCCCCACACUGGCACUGAGAUACGGGCCAGACUCCUACGGGAGGCAGCAGUAGGGAAUAUUGGACAAUGGGCGCAAGCCUGAUCCAGCCAUGCCGCGUGCAGGAAGAAGGCCUUCUGGGUUGUAAACUGCUUUUGCCAGGGGAUAAAAAGUCCCUGCGGGGAAAAUUGAAGUACCUGGUGAAUAAGCCACGGCUAA
Molecule: ribosomal RNA, 475 nt
Filed under: uncultured bacterium
Lineage: Bacteria
Description: bacterial SSU rRNA
Rfam family: Bacterial small subunit ribosomal RNA
Source: RNAcentral